This 361-nucleotide long non-coding RNA is filed under the name Gossypium raimondii (Peruvian cotton). RNAcentral describes it as "long non-coding RNA (GRAI_LNC007784)". Lineage: Eukaryota; Viridiplantae; Streptophyta; Magnoliopsida; Malvales; Malvaceae. The record is from RNAcentral.
GAGUUGAUAAUCCUACCCAGAUCAGCAUUCACCAUCUUAGAUCGAGGCAGUACGUACCCUUUCUUCUUCUCAGAAGGCUUAUCAAAUGACCCGUAAAUCGUAUCCAGCUUCUCGUAAGCCGAUUUGGUCCAAAUAAUGAACCUUCCAAGGUGACCACCAGGUGCCAGUUUCAACAGAUUAAGCCUCUCCACGUUGGCAACCUCCACUCCAGGAAUGUUACGGAAGGCUUUAACAAGCUUAGCUCCCUCAGUUCCGUAAACAAUCAAAGGACCUUUACGGGAAAUGUACCUCCGAUUCCUCAUUUUUCCUUUUCCGGGUCGGAUUUCUUGGCUGUCCUUAGCCUUUUCAACAUCAGGAUAUG